Molecule: ribosomal RNA, 1344 nt
Filed under: uncultured bacterium
Lineage: Bacteria
Description: partial 16S ribosomal RNA
Rfam family: Bacterial small subunit ribosomal RNA
Source: RNAcentral
AGAGACCUUCGGGUCUCUAGUGGCGAACGGGUGAGUAACACGUAGGGAACCUGCCCGCGCACCGGGAAUACGCUCUGGAAACGGAGAACAAAUCCCGAUGUACAGGAAGGAGGCAUCUUCUUUCUGUGAAACAUCCUCUAGGGGAUGGGGCGCGGAUGGACCUGCGGUGCAUUAGUUUGUUGGCGGGGUAAAGGCCCACCAAGACGAUGAUGCAUAGCCGGCCUGAGAGGGCGGACGGCCACAUUGGGACUGAGACACGGCCCAGACUCCUGCGGGAGGCAGCAGUAGGGAAUUUUCGUCAAUGGGCGCAAGCCUGAACGAGCGAUGCCGCGUGAGUGAAGAAGGCCUUCGGGUCGUAAAGCUCUGUUGCGGGGGAAAAAAGGCAGCAUCAGGAAAUGGGUGCUGACUGAUGGUGCCCCGCCAGAAAGUCACGGCUAACUGCGUGCCAGCAGCCGCGGUAAUACGUAGGUGGCAAGCGUUGUCCGGAUUUAUUGGGCGUAAAGCGAGUGCAGGCGGUUCAAUAAGUCUGAUGUGAAAAACAUUAGCUACAACCGGAACAAUUGCAUCAGAACAUCUUGAACUGGAGUGCAGAAGAGGAGAAGUGGAACUCCCAUGGUGUAGCGGGGGAAAGGGGUAGAUAUAUGGAAAGAACACCAGUGGACGAAGGCGGCUCUCUGGUUAGCAACUGACGCUGAGGCUCGAAAGCAUGGGUAGCGAACAGGAUUAGAUACCCUGGUAGUCCAUGCCGUAAACGAUGAGUGCUAAGUGUUGGGAGGUUUCCGCCUCUCAGUGCUGCAGCUAACGCAUUAAGCACUCCGCCUGGGGAGUACGACCGCAAGGUUGAAACUCAAAGGAAUUGACGGGGGCCCGCACAAGCGGUGGAGCAUGUGGUUUAAUUCGAAGCAACGCGAAGAACCUUACCAGGUCUUGACAUCCAGUGCAAACCUAAGAGAUUAGGUGUUCCCUUCGGGGACGCUGAGACAGGUGGUGCAUGGCUGUCGUCAGCUCGUGUUGUGAGAUGUUGGGUUAAGUCCCGCAACGAGCGCAACCCUUGUCAUUAGUUGCCAUCAUUAAGUUGGGCACUCUAAUGAGACUGCCGGUGACAAACCGGAGGAAGGUGGGGAUGACGUCAAGUCAUCAUGCCCCUUAUGACCUGGGCUACACACGUGCUACAAUGGACGGUACAACGAGAAGCGAACCUGCGAAGGCAAGCGGAUCUCUUAAAGCCGUUCUCAGUUCGGACUGUAGGCUGCAACUCGCCUACACGAAGCUGGAAUCGCUAGUAAUCGCGGAUCAGCACGCCGCGGUGAAUACGAUCCCGGGCCUUGCACUCACCGCCCGUCA